RNAcentral lists this transfer RNA (77 nucleotides) under bacterium. Its description in RNAcentral is "tRNA-Cys". It matches the Rfam family "tRNA". Rfam says of the family: Transfer RNA (tRNA) molecules are approximately 80 nucleotides in length. Their secondary structure includes four short double-helical elements and three loops (D, anti-codon, and T loops). The record is from RNAcentral.
GGCCCGAUCGCCAAGUUGGCUAAGGCAAUGGUUUGCAAAACCAUCAUUCGCCGGUUCGAAUCCGGCUCGGGCCUCAA